GUGCCAGCAGCCGCGGUAAUUCCAGCUCCAAUAGCGUAUAUUAAAGUUGUUGCAGUUAAAAAGCUCGUAGUUGAAACUUGGGUCUGGCUGGCAGGUCCGCCCCACCGCGUGUACUUGUCCGGCCGGGCCUUCCUUCUGGAGAACCUCAUGCCCUUCACUGGGCGUGUUGGGGACCAGGACUUUUACUUUGAAAAAAUUAGAGUGUUCAAAGCAGGCCUUUGCUCGAAUACGUUAGCAUGGAAUAAUAGAAUAGGACGUGCGGUCCUAUUUUGUUGGUUUCUAGGACCGCCGUAAUGAUUAAUAGGGACAGUCGGGGGCAUCAGUAUUCAAUUGUCAGAGGUGAAAUUCUUGGAUUUAUUGAAGACUAACUACUGCGAAAGCAUUUGCCAAGGAUGUUUUCAUUAAUCAGUGAACGAAAGUUAGGGGAUCGAAGACGAUCAGAUACCGUCGUAGUCUUAACCGUAAACUAUGCCGACUAGGGAUCGGGCGAUGUUCUUUUUCUGACUCGCUCGGCACCUUACGAGAAAUCAAAGUUUUUGGGUUCUGGGGGGAGUAUGGUCGCAAGGCUGAAACUUAAAGAAAUUGACGGAAGGGCACCACCAGGCGUGGAGCCUGCGGCUUAAUUUUGACUCAACACGGGGAAACUCACCAGGUCCAGAUGAAGUAAGGAUUGACAGAUUGAGAGCUCUUUCUUGAUUUUUCAGGUGGUGGUGCAUGGCCGUCUAGUGGUGGAGUGAUUUGUCUGCUUAAUGCGAUACGACGAGACCUAACUGCUAAAUAGCAGCUAGCUUGCUGGUCGCCGGCUUCUAGAGGACUAUCCGCUCAAGCGAUGAGGUGAAGCAUAACAGUCUGGAUGCCCUAGAUGUUCUGGGCCGCACGCGCGCCUACACUGACAGAGAGUCAUAU
RNAcentral lists this ribosomal RNA (906 nucleotides) under uncultured fungus. RNAcentral describes it as "SSU rRNA". It matches the Rfam family "Eukaryotic small subunit ribosomal RNA", at positions 564 to 1525 of the family's 1831-position model. Lineage: Eukaryota; Fungi. The record is from RNAcentral.